This is a long non-coding RNA of Platichthys flesus (European flounder), 1021 nucleotides long. RefSeq lists it as uncharacterized. The record is from RefSeq and is a predicted model, not a curated record. The transcript is spliced from 4 exons. Lineage: Eukaryota; Metazoa; Chordata; Actinopteri; Pleuronectiformes; Pleuronectidae.
ACAAGCUGCGGAGCUGUGUAUCACGAAGAACCGGAGAACGGUUGGCGAGUCUGGAUGAGAGGACGGCGGCGGAGUCACUGUGGACGUUGUUCGCUCAGCAGGUUAGAGUGUGGGACUCAAAGCUUUUUUCCCCCGUCCGUCGUGUCUUUUCCUGUGUGAACUCUGCCGCUCUCAACAGCAGCACUGGCUAUGAGCUAGCUCCUGCUACCUCCAACGAAGCAUCUCUCAACUGCUACAAGGUCCAACUUGACACACAACUUGAAUCCAACCAGACUGAACACUGACUCCAGGGACAGACGAGCCUGAAGGACACAGCUGUGAUGACCAUGUUCUGUCUCUUAUGGCAAAGCAGAAAUAUAAAACACUGGGUUCUUAUCUAAAGUGUAUCAAAUCAGAUCUCCACCAUGUUGCUGCUGAGGACAUCAGUUGUCUUCCAGUUGACCAGCAUGAAGCUGCAGAUCUCCACCAUGUUGCUGCUGGGGACAUCAGGAGCUGCAUUAAUGAGGAGCAGAAGCGUACUGUUAUGAAUGUUUUGUGUUGUUUAUGAAGCACUACUUAUUUCAGCUAGAACCGAUGUACUAGGGUCUGGGUUUGUAUCCUAAUGGUUAAAUGCACAUACUUUAAAUCGCUUUUGAUAAAACGUGACAAAGAAAUACAACAUUGUACACAUAGAUAAAAUGUCUUUCUACCUCAUCUGUAAUAUUCAAGGUGAUGAUCUCCCACAGAGCUGUUGAUAACAGUCCACAUCAAGUCUCUCCACUUCCCUCAGUGUGAAAACAUAAUUAUAUAAUUAAUUGGAGAAGUGUUUACAACACUGAUGUGUGGACAUUAUAAUGUUAUCACUACUGUCUAAUUCACUCUACAACUCCAUGACAGACUAAAUAAACGAUGUGAAAAUAGUAAUGGCGGAUAUACCAUCCUGUAUCAGAAUAUUGGUGAAACAGUUACUAUCACAUGAAACGUACACGUGUAGCGUAUUGAUAGUAAAUCAUUAAAAAAAAUAAUGUCACAACCAAAACAA